UGGACUGACUGGAGUGGCAAGCCAGGCAGGAACAAGGACUUCCCCCAGGGCCCAGGCCGUGGGUCGGACCUGGGUACAAGGAAGGAUGUCUGAAGGCGCACAGGAGCUCCGGCCUCUGAUUUUUGUAUCGAUUUGAGAUCUGUAGCUGCAGGACGUGCGGGUGUGCCUGGAUGUCGAUGAUUUAGUUAAAGAGAGGUGGUGUCAUGUGGUCUCUCGGAGAGGGGAGAGUGGCGGACUGUGGAGUACCAGGAGCCUCCGCUGUCCUUGUGCGCCCUCGCCUGUCCGAAAAAGGGAAAAGGCCCCGAAGCAGCAGACUCCCCCCUCCCCCAGGCCGGCGGCAGAGGAGUGAGGGAAAUUCCUUUGGCUUUCUCCCCCGACUCUUUCAUCUGGAAAAAAAGGUGCUCCCGUUGACCGUGGAUUUGAUCAGUUCCCCCGCAUGGCCCCUGUGUGGUCCGCCAGGCCCCUCUGUCGUCGCCAUCGCCGUCGGCCCACAUUUCUGUCACCUGUGGAUAAAUCAACAGUUGCUCUCCGAAUCAGGUUCACAUUUACUCACAUAUUCCUGCUCCUUCAUUUACACGCUAACUGAGUGCAAACUCUGGUUGUGUCAUGUUUCAGCCGAAUGGCUUUAUAAUCCCCCCGCAACUGUAGCAGCAACAUAAUAACUGCUGAGCCAAGACUGUUCACAAUUCAAGUUCAAAAACACUUUAUACAUUAAAAAGUGUGCGAUCUAUCUGUUAUGGGGAUUAAUCCUAUUUAUAAUUUCAAAUAAUAUUUUGUCUGAAAAUGCCAUACCAUUUAUUAAUGACAGCCUUCCAUCUGAACCUAUGGUUUGUUUUGCUUGUGCGAACACUAGUCCGUACGCGCAAUACACAACUCGGUGUUUAGUCAAGUUGUAUUCUGUGAAAUUUUAAUGAGAGCACAUAAGAAUGUGCUCAUUACAGGUCACAUUUGGCACCAGUCUUAUUAUAUUGUCCGAAGACAGUGUUGCUAUUUUAGAUAAAGAUUCAGACGUGGAGGCCCAUUUUUCAACCAUGAAAUGAAAACAAAACAAGCCUGCAGUCAAACGCUGUGCUUUUUAUUUCACUUGAAGACUUAAACUACAGGAGGUUUCUUUGCAAGCGACUGAAUGCUCCUUUUUAGCCUCCUUUACAGCCUAUAGGCCUACCUGAUGUGGCGUUACACUGUAUUUUCAAAUGCUCCCCACACUUGAUUGUUUACUUGUUGUCUGACAAGGUUUUAUGGCACAAGGAUUGGGCUAUCCACAUGUCGCAGUCUCUUCCUGACAAAACCUCUACUCUCCUAGCAGUCCAAACCAAUGGCUACUCUUAAUUUAACGUGGCAGGAGGAAAUCUAGACAAUGCAGUAACGUUAAGUGUUAGUGUAAGUGCUAAGUCUAAAUUGGUGAAUCCAGACUGGAUUUAUGUAAGUGUGCUGUAGGUUAUGAAGAUGUAGCAAGGGAGACUAUAAGGACAAGAAAACAGUGUCUCUGAAUAAAUACACUUAUUUGUCAGAGUACCGCAUCUACUGAAUACUUUUUUCGGUUAUUUACUGCUAAAAGUUAAGAAGACCGUUCGCAAAUAAUUAAAACAUCCUGCGCUAUUUUUUGUACAGUAAUAAUAGUAACAGUUAACCUUUACUUAAAGCACUUAAGAUAUUAUGACAAUAAGUCGUUCUGUUGAGCACCAGCCUCCUAAGUAACA
This is a long non-coding RNA of Mugil cephalus (flathead mullet), 1700 nucleotides long. RefSeq lists it as uncharacterized. The record is from RefSeq and is a predicted model, not a curated record. The transcript has 3 exons. Lineage: Eukaryota; Metazoa; Chordata; Actinopteri; Mugiliformes; Mugilidae.